Leguminivora glycinivorella is the source of this 1726-nucleotide long non-coding RNA. RefSeq lists it as uncharacterized. The record is from RefSeq and is a predicted model, not a curated record. Lineage: Eukaryota; Metazoa; Arthropoda; Insecta; Lepidoptera; Tortricidae. The transcript is spliced from 3 exons.
UUCCCCAUACCCAUAACGUAUUAGAGAUUAUAAAAGAUUUUUAACUGCAAAAUACGUCAUUUUUACAACUAGUCUGUAGGUUACUAACUGCGAAAUCAUGAUUCAUACUACUUUUAGUGUUAAGUACAAUAUGUAUAUAGAUAUUUUGUGAAUUUGCUCUAAUUAAUUCUAAUAUUUGCUCAGUAAAAACGUAUUUUGCAAGUUAGUGGAUAGGUACCCCUAUAUUUAUGCUGACCUUAUCUUUUUUUAGUCGAUAAAAUCGCAUUAUAUCUUAAGCUUGCAUAAUAUCUGUCCAUAUGUAUUAUAGAUACUGUUCAUCGCCAAAAAUACUUUUUCACGUUUUUUAACAAGUUUAUUUUUAAGUUUUUUAUCACAAUAGUUUUAAACAAAUGCUGUAUUUAUGGAACGGCUGGAAUGGCUUGUGGAACGGGCCAGCAAUGUUAUUAUGUUAUUUUAUUUUUGUACUGUAGUUUAGAGUUGUAUUUGAUGUGUCAUUGAUAGUUUGAGAUUGUUGUAGUAAAACUGUUGAAAAAAAUAUGUUUUUUUUUUUUCAAAUAUUUCUUCUAUCUUUUGAACCAUAAUAUUUUUAAGAAAAUGCGUAUACAUACUUUUUACCGUAAUUUUUAUCACAAACAUAGUUAGGAACUACUAGAGAUUGAGUGUCAUUAUAACGACAUUGUUUGUGGCACAACGUGGAAUAAGUAUUUUUGAAGAAAACUCAAUAUUAAAAAAAGUAUAAUAUAAACGUUUAUUUACAAAUUCUUAUAAGUAUUAGGUCACUAACAAUUACAAAUUUUCCUGAGUCUUUUAUAUAUAAUGGUCACUCACUUUUAUAAUUGUCGUAAUAGGUACCGUAUAAAAAUAAAAACACGAGUUUCAAGAUAUAAGACUUCUAGUUAAAUUAGGCAUAUUUAUCUUGUCUGAGUAAGUAAGUAAGUUAAUUGUUAGUUAGGGACAACAAAGUAAAUGACACACACCCACCUAACAUAACUGCACAGCAACUUGACGGCCCUGACCUUAAAAUUUUUCACGUAUCAAGUGAGAAUGAGAAAGAAUUAUUUUUUAUAUGAGAAGGUGGAAAUAUAAGCUUUUAUUGCAAGAAGUCUCUGUAGCUCAGUUGACAGGGCGAUGGGCUAGUCGUGACUUCUAUUCUGGUUCGAACAGUCGAUAUUUCCACUUCUUAAUUAAUUUCUAAAAAUAAGUUUGGUUCCUGGGGGGUUACCAUGACGUGCUAAAGCCGUUCAGUUUAGGUUGAGAGAGAGGGACGGAGCUAUGUAACUGCUAUAGCUGUGUCCCUUUCUCUCAACCUAAACAACGUCUUUAGUACGUCAUAGUAACCCCCCUGCUAAGAUAUUGAUCUGGCUAGUCAACUUGACACUAAACUCAUCGCUCCUGAGACGGCAGCGAAGCCCGCGCUCAGCAGAGCUAUGGAGCAGAGCGACGGGUAGUGAAACAGGCACCCCCCGUUGGCUGUGUAUGCGCAGCUUGUCAACAAAACCUAUGAUAUUGAUCUGGCUAGUCGACUCGACACUAGACUCAGCAGAGCCAUUGACCAGAGGGAUGUGUAGUGGACCAGGCAGUCCCCGUUGGCUGUGUAUGCACAGCUUGUCUAAAAAUGCUAUGAUAUUGAUCUAGUUAGACGACUUGACACUAGACUCAGCAGAGCCAUUGACCAGAGGGAUGUGUAGUGGACCAGGCAGUCCCCGUUGGCUGUGUAUGCACAGGU